Rhododendron vialii is the source of this 693-nucleotide long non-coding RNA. RefSeq lists it as uncharacterized. The record is from RefSeq and is a predicted model, not a curated record. The transcript has 3 exons. NCBI's taxonomy places the organism in Eukaryota, Viridiplantae, Streptophyta, Magnoliopsida, Ericales, Ericaceae.
CAGUUGAUCUUGCUGGAUUACCUCAAGUUAAAGAUGGUGCUUUGAAUGUUACCGAGGCUUAUAAUUGGUUGUCCCUGUUGACGAAAGGGAACAUGUAUAUGAAGAGGGGGUUAAUGUAAAUGAAUUGCUAGCGGAGAAUGCUAUGAGUUAUAACCAGUUUCAAUCGGGGUUGAAGGGAAAUGGAAAAAAUGAGGGUUCAGGGAUUUCACCUGUUUUGAUGGAUAUGGGAUCACAACUUAAUAAGGAAAAGGUGGACUCUACAGCAGAACAUACAAAGGAUUCUGUUAUGUCUGAAUGUUGUGAUAGCCAGCCUUUGGUAGCUUCAACUCCACGAUCUGUGCAAACAACUUCCUGGAUGAGUUGCUGCAGACUAUUUGAGGUGUUUACAGGCUCCAAUAGAUAAUUUCAGAAGCAUUGCAUGAAGGAGCGGAAGGGGACCGGUGAAGCUAGUGGAACUUCAGGUUAUGUUGAGAUCUGCAAUUUGUACUGUAGAUGGAAAGAAAAAAUGCGAUAUCUCUUCGCACAAUGACAAGACGUUCCCUUGACAUUUUCUUUUCUCUCAACAAAUGUCUCCGGAAAUCCUCGAUCUACACAACCUUGAGGACUUGGGUAAUGGAAAGAUGUAGACCCAUCUUGAGUACUUUUCCGUGAUGAAUAACGCGCAAAAGUUCAUCAUGUACAACCAAUUCGAUG